RNAcentral lists this ribosomal RNA (446 nucleotides) under uncultured bacterium. RNAcentral describes it as "partial 16S ribosomal RNA". It matches the Rfam family "Bacterial small subunit ribosomal RNA", at positions 329 to 792 of the family's 1533-position model. The record is from RNAcentral.
CGCCAGACUCCUACGGGAGGCAGCAGUAAGGGAUAUUGGUCAAUGGGGGAAACCCUGAACCAGCAACGCCGCGUGAGGGAAGACGGUUUUCGGAUUGUAAACCUCUGUCCUCUGUGAAGAUGAUGACGGUAGCAGAGGAGGAAGCUCCGGCUAACUACGUGCCAGCAGCCGCGGUAAUACGUAGGGAGCGAGCGUUAUCCGGAUUUACUGGGUGUAAAGGGCGUGUAGGCGGGAAAGCAAGUCAGAUGUGAAAACCACGGGCUCAACCUGUGGCCUGCAUUUGAAACUGUUUUUCUUGAGUACUGGAGAGGCAGACGGAAUUCCUAGUGUAGCGGUGAAAUGCGUAGAUAUUAGGAGGAACACCAGUGGCGAAGGCGGCCUACUGGACGGUGACUGACGCUGAGGCUCGAAAGCGUGGGGAGCAAACAGGAUUAGAUACCCCCGUA